CUGAAAAUUCUAAACUGCAAAUUAUGUUUCUGAACUUUUACUGAAACUAAACUAAAGGCAACCGAUGCACUUGACAGUUAAACUAAUCUAAAGGCAACCGAUGAACUUCUACUGAACUCCUACGGUACCCAAGCAAUGAAGUCUCAGAAGUCAGAAAAUAAUCGAUGGCAAAUCGACAGUUAAACUAAAAACUGCAAUUACAUGCCAUGCCUAAGCAGACAAGCAGAAAGUGUGCGCUGCAGCAGGGGAUGUCGGGCUGAGGCUUGAGGGCGCACAUCCGAACUGCGGACUGCCGAUCCAGGACCGCCGAGUAUGGAGCUCAUACAUUCUCAUAGCAAACUCAUUGAAAUUGGGAAUGAAUUGUUACCAUGUUGUCGGAUCCAAAGCUUGAGAAUGCAUCCAUGGAUGAGACAUCGGGCUACCACCAACGCCUUGGCCCCAGCCUGGUGCAAUCGUUUGGGGAAAGAACCCCAUGGAGGUGGGGGCGCCGGUGAGGACACAGCUCAUGUCGAUGAAGGAAGACGUGGAUUGAGGAGGGGCAGCUCCUUCCGCCGCUGCUGCGCUCUUCCCGUGCAGUGCCGCCGCAGCACCAUUCUUCUCCCCUCGCGAUGCAUCGGCCUUCCGCUCCCUCGCUGCUGCGCCCUUCCGCGCCCUUGCAGCAGCACCCUUCUUCUCCCGAGCUGCCGCCACCGCCAACAAUCCCGCGUCGCCGCCCCCUCCCGCUCCUCUCGUCUCAUCGUUUCCAGGUUCAAGAUUAGGAAUGGAUUGGGGAUAGGAAUGGAUUGGGGAGGUGGAGAAGGAACUGGAUAUAUGGGGGAAAAUGGCGCGGGCAGAUGGAUUUUUGCCGCCAUAUCCCGCGCCAAAUCUCGGAGGGACUCACGCGCCGCAGGGGAUCUCUCACCGUCAUCGACUCCGGGAACGGGUCGUACAACGCUGCUCGCGGGGUGAUUAGACCUGGGAGCACGAGCCUCUGCCGUGGGAGGCGACGGCAAGCUCCUCUCUCCUUAUUAAAAUGUUGUACACGUCGGACUUGUUUGCCAGCAUGGCCACACGCAGACCAGAAAUAGACGGGCGUUGUACGUGAUAUCUG
This 1090-nucleotide long non-coding RNA is filed under the name Setaria viridis. Its description in RNAcentral is "long non-coding RNA (SVIR_LNC002866)". Lineage: Eukaryota; Viridiplantae; Streptophyta; Magnoliopsida; Poales; Poaceae. The record is from RNAcentral.